This 311-nucleotide long non-coding RNA is filed under the name Canis lupus dingo (dingo). RNAcentral describes it as "lncRNA (ENSCAFG00020019236.1)". Lineage: Eukaryota; Metazoa; Chordata; Mammalia; Carnivora; Canidae. The record is from RNAcentral.
CGGGCGGGAGGCUCGGGCGGGCGGCCCCGCGCGGGACGCGGGUGCGGGCGCCCGGGAGGUGCCGACAGCCGCCUCGGACCCGGUAACCUAACAAGAUUAAAAUUAAAUUGGUUGAUGAUGGUUCUGAACAAAUACAGCCCUUUUAUUUGAGGUAUGCCAUUUUGAAGACUGAGAUCCAUGGAGUUUUAUCCUUGAGUAUAUAAAAGGAAAUAUUUGCUAAAAUCUUUAUUUUAUAUAGCAAGUAAGUAAAUGUUUUAUUCAACAUCUGAAAUUUAAUAGCUACCAACAUUUGAGAAGGAAAAUAUCACUGA